RNAcentral lists this ribosomal RNA (484 nucleotides) under uncultured bacterium. Its description in RNAcentral is "partial 16S ribosomal RNA". It matches the Rfam family "Bacterial small subunit ribosomal RNA", at positions 29 to 523 of the family's 1533-position model. The record is from RNAcentral.
AGUGAACGCUGGCGGCGUGCUUAACACAUGCAAGUCGAACGAGAACGGAUUAUAGCUUGCUAUAAUUGUCAGCUAAGUGGCGCACGGGUGAGUAAUGUAUAGGUAAUAUGCCUCUUACUAAGGGCUAACAAAUGGAAACGUUUGCUAAUACCUUAUACUCCUUAUUAACAUAAGUUAAUAAGGGAAAGAUUUAUUGGUAAGAGAUUAGCCUGUAUUGUAUCAGUUAGUUGGUGGGGUAAUGGCUUACCAAGACUAUGACACAUAACUGGUUUGAGAGGAUGAUCAGUCACACUGGAACUGAGACACGGUCCAGACUCCUACGGGAGGCAGCAGUGGGGAAUAUUGCACAAUGGACGAAAGUCUGAUGCAGCAACGCUGCGUGGAGGAUGACACAUUUCGGUGCGUAAACUCCUUUUAUAUAAGAAGAUAAUGACGGUAUUAUAUGAAUAAGCACCGGCUAACUCCGUGCCAGCAGCCGCGGUAA